Molecule: non-coding RNA, 173 nt
Filed under: Pseudomonas japonica
Lineage: Bacteria; Pseudomonadati; Pseudomonadota; Gammaproteobacteria; Pseudomonadales; Pseudomonadaceae
Source: RNAcentral
AGGAGGGCGACCGACUGUGGGGAGGAAGCGUGGAGCAUAAACCUCGAGCCGAGGUACACGAAUCGCAUUCGAGGCGGAUCCGGUCAGGGCGAGCAGCCAAUGUCCUGCGAAGCCGUUGUGGCCUAGAGGCCGGAUACGUAAAUGCGGCGGUUGUGAGGUGAAGGAUGGUGUUC